Molecule: ribosomal RNA, 253 nt
Filed under: uncultured bacterium
Lineage: Bacteria
Description: partial 16S ribosomal RNA
Rfam family: Bacterial small subunit ribosomal RNA
Source: RNAcentral
UACGAAGGGGGCUAGCGUUGUUCGGAAUUACUGGGCGUAAAGCGCACGUAGGCGGACUACUAAGUCAGGGGUGAAAUCCCGGGGCUCAACCCCGGAACUGCCUUUGAUACUGCAAAUCUCGAGUCCGGAAGAGGUGAGUGGAAUUCCUAGUGUAGAGGUGAAAUUCGUAGAUAUUAGGAAGAACACCAGUGGCGAAGGCGGCUCACUGGUCCGGUACUGACGCUGAGGUGCGAAAGCGUGGGGAGCAAACAGG